RNAcentral lists this ribosomal RNA (253 nucleotides) under uncultured bacterium. RNAcentral describes it as "partial 16S ribosomal RNA". It matches the Rfam family "Bacterial small subunit ribosomal RNA", at positions 524 to 776 of the family's 1533-position model. The record is from RNAcentral.
UACGGAGGGUGCGAGCGUUAAUCGGAAUUACUGGGCGUAAAGAGUGCGUAGGUGGUUGAAUAAGUUAUCUGUGAAAUCCCUGGGCUUAACCUGGGCAGGUCAGAUAAUACUGUUUAACUCGAGUAUGGGAGAGGGUAGUGGAAUUUCCGGUGUAGCGGUGAAAUGCGUAGAGAUCGGAAGGAACACCAGUGGCGAAGGCGGCUACCUGGCCUAAUACUGACACUGAGGCACGAAAGCGUGGGGAGCAAACAGG